Molecule: ribosomal RNA, 1110 nt
Filed under: Listeria monocytogenes
Lineage: Bacteria; Bacillati; Bacillota; Bacilli; Caryophanales; Listeriaceae
Description: partial 23S ribosomal RNA
Rfam family: Bacterial large subunit ribosomal RNA
Source: RNAcentral
CCAGACCACCAGUUAAGGUCCCCAAAUAUAUGUUAAGUGGAAAAGGAUGUGGGGUUGCUUAGACAACCAGGAUGUUGGCUUAGAAGCAGCCACCAUUGAAAGAGUGCGUAAUAGCUCACUGGUCGAGUGACCCCGCGCCGAAAAUGUACCGGGGCUAAACAUAUUACCGAAACUGUGGAUGAACCUCUUUAGAGGUUCGUGGUAGGAGAGCGUUCUAAGGGCGGUGAAGUCAGACCGGAAGGACUGGUGGAGCGCUUAGAAGUGAGAAUGCCGGUAUGAGUAGCGAAAGAAGGGUGAGAAUCCCUUCCACCGAAUAUCUAAGGUUUCCUGAGGAAGGCUCGUCCGCUCAGGGUUAGUCGGGACCUAAGCCGAGGCCGAUAGGCGUAGGCGAUGGACAACAGGUAGAGAUUCCUGUACCAGUGCUAAUUGUUUAACCGAUGGGGUGACACAGAAGGAUAGGGAAUCGCACGAAUGGAAAUGUGCGUCCAAGCAGUGAGUGUGAGAAGUAGGCAAAUCCGCUUCUCGCGAAGCAUGAGCUGUGAUGGGGAAGGAAAUUAAGUACGGAAGUUCCUGAUUUCACGCUGUCAAGAAAAGCCUCUAGGAAGAGUAGUACUGCCCGUACCGCAAACCGACACAGGUAGAUGAGGAGAGAAUCCUAAGGUGAGCGAGAGAACUCUCGUUAAGGAACUCGGCAAAAUGACCCCGUAACUUCGGGAGAAGGGGUGCUCUAUUAGGGUGCAAGCCCGAGAGAGCCGCAGUGAAUAGGCCCAGGCGACUGUUUAGCAAAAACACAGGUCUCUGCAAAACCGUAAGGUGACGUAUAGGGGCUGACGCCUGCCCGGUGCUGGAAGGUUAAGAGGAGUGCUUAGCUUCGGCGAAGGUACGAAUUGAAGCCCCAGUAAACGGCGGCCGUAACUAUAACGGUCCUAAGGUAGCGAAAUUCCUUGUCGGGUAAGUUCCGACCCGCACGAAAGGCGCAACGAUCUGGGCACUGUCUCAACGAGAGACUCGGUGAAAUUAUAGUACCUGUGAAGAUGCAGGUUACCCGCGACAGGACGGAAAGACCCCGUGGAGCUUUACUGCAACCUGAUAUGGAAUGUUUGUACCGCU